UAAAAAUUAUAUCUGCGAAUGGAGGAGUAUUUAUUUGUUUGUUGUUGGAACAAAUACGAAUGAUUCUUUGCUCGACCUAACAGAUAGGGCAAAAUAUCCGUUGGUUACCAAUUGCCAGCAGUCUUCUUCUUCUUCGUUACGUAAUUGUUGUGUACGUACAUCACCAAUUUGGGAUCGCUAUGGAUACUGACAAAGGAGAGUCUGGUAAUGGCAAGCAGAGGAUAGUAGUCUCUCAAGAAGAAGGUAAAGAUAUAAAGAAGUGUUUGGAGGAAAACAAUGGCGACGAUAACAAAUGCAAGUCAAAGAUUGAUUCUUUCCAUUCUUCUUACUCCAAUUCUCGCCCAAGAAAGCGGUUGCCACCUCUAAGGCUUGGAAGGGGAUCGUUGACUGAUGUCUGAAACAAGUAGUGGUAUGUAUGUGGUAACCCAUUUUUAUUAUUUUAUGAAUGUACAAAUCAUUCUACUAUGGAUAUUAGGUGUUUCUUGGAAUCAGGUGUUUCUUGGAAUCUAUCUUUUUUGGAGGCUUUUAAUUUGUUUCCUUUGUAACAAAAUGUACAAUCUUUCUUGAAAGUAAUUAAUAGAUUAAUCACCUAGUUCCUCA
Non-coding RNA from Jatropha curcas, 600 nucleotides. The record is from RefSeq and is a predicted model, not a curated record. NCBI's taxonomy places the organism in Eukaryota, Viridiplantae, Streptophyta, Magnoliopsida, Malpighiales, Euphorbiaceae.